CGUGUAGGCGGCCUAAUAAGUUAGAAGUGAAACCUAUCGGCUCAACUGAUAGCCUGCUUCUAAAACUGCUAAGCUUGAGUGCAGAAGAGGGGAGUGGAAUUCCCAGUGUAGCGGUGAAAUGCGUAGAUAUUGGGAGGAACACCAGUGGCGAAAGCGGCUCCCUGGUCUGUAACUGACGCUGAGGCGCGAAAGCGUGGGUAGCAAACA
RNAcentral lists this ribosomal RNA (207 nucleotides) under uncultured Peptococcaceae bacterium. Its description in RNAcentral is "partial 16S ribosomal RNA". It matches the Rfam family "Bacterial small subunit ribosomal RNA", at positions 568 to 774 of the family's 1533-position model. The record is from RNAcentral. Lineage: Bacteria; Bacillati; Bacillota; Clostridia; Eubacteriales; Peptococcaceae.